CGUUUUUGUGCCCCCGAUUGCGGAUUAUUGCAAAUGCCCAAAGCCUGGGGCUCCCCGGAACGCACCUGAAAAGGGUUCGAUUCGAACAUUCUGGAGAGAAACGAAAAUGUUGAUGUUAUUUGAAAAUUCUUCGAUGCGAUAGGGGUUUCUUCUAUUAGAUUUAAUCUUAAAAGGUAGAUAAGAGGUAUUUCUGCCAUCGUAUUGUUUCUUUACGAACAAGAGUUUUUAUGAAACUGUUUUU
This is a long non-coding RNA of Uloborus diversus, 241 nucleotides long. RefSeq lists it as uncharacterized. Lineage: Eukaryota; Metazoa; Arthropoda; Arachnida; Araneae; Uloboridae. The transcript has 3 exons. The record is from RefSeq and is a predicted model, not a curated record.